CCCUUAGAUGUUCUGGGCAGCACGCGCGCUACAAUGGUCUUCGCAAACGGAUGCAUUCUCGAAGGAGAAUGCCAAUCUUGGAAUCUAUGCCUUGGUCGGGACAGUUGCUUGCAAUUUUUCGACUCGAACCAGGAAUUCCUUGUAAUCGUGAUUCAUCACAUCACGAUGAAUACGUCCCUGCCCUUUGUACACACCGCCCGUCGCUCCUACCGAUCGAAGAGUUAGGUGAAUUGUUUUGAUCGAUAAGAUUUGACUAUGGUCAACUCUCGUUGUGAAAUUCUGUGAAACUGACUGUUUAGAGGAAGGAAAAGUCGUAACA
RNAcentral lists this ribosomal RNA (319 nucleotides) under uncultured eukaryote. Its description in RNAcentral is "partial 18S ribosomal RNA". It matches the Rfam family "Eukaryotic small subunit ribosomal RNA", at positions 1470 to 1796 of the family's 1831-position model. The record is from RNAcentral.